AUGUCUGAGCUCAGGAUUCUUGUCCAAGGAACUCUGAUAGCUUUGUUGUGCCUGCUCCUCUCCUUACCACCACCAGCCACAGCCUCUCCCCUCCAUGAACCAGCUUCAAAUGGGAGUUGUGUCACGUACGAGAGGGACGCGCUUCUCUCCAUCAAGGACAGCCUCUGGGAGCCCAGUGUCAACCUCUCGUCAUGGCAAGGUGAAGAAUGCUGCACCUGGAAAGGCGUCAGGUGCAGCUACAAAACCGGCCAUGUCGUCAAGCUCAAUCUUCGUGGAAGUGCUCAAGACUGCCUCAGAUACUCUACGUAUAGAGGUGCGAUAAGCCACUCCUUGGUUACUUUACAGCAACUGAGGUAUCUAGACUUGAGCUGCAAUAGCUUCAACUGGUCUGAGAUACCGGAGUUCAUUGGUUCUUUUCCGAGCCUUAGAUAUCUAAACCUUUCAUAUAGCUCGUUCUAUGGGAGAGUACCCCCGCAGAUUGGGAACCUCUCCAAGCUUGCCUACCUGGAUCUCAAACUCCCAAGUUAUAACAUAUUGUACUCAAGUGAUCUUCGGUGGUUAUCACACCUGUCAUCACUGAAGCACCUCGACUUGAGCUAUAUUAACCUUACCACUGCACUAGACUGGGUCCAUGAAAUUAACAGGAUUCCAAAUCUUAGCAAGCUUUACCUAAAGUACACAGGCCUAAGAAGCACAGUUUCUGCCCUUGGUCAAUCCAAUCUUACGGCACUCGAGGUGCUUGACAUUUCACAGAACUACUUUAACACCACCAUUGCUCCACACUGGUUUUGGAACUCAACGUCCCUCACUUCUCUGAACUUGUUUCGUUGUCACUUCUAUGGUCGUAUUCCUGAAUAUAUUGGUAAUAUGGCCUCUCUCGAGGAAGUUUAUUUCGGGGGGAAUAAUCUUAUGUCCAAUAUGAUACCAUCAAAUUUCAAAAAUCUAUGCAACCUGAAGAUACUAGAAUUGUCAGGCAGCAACACCUCAGGGGAUAUCUCAGAGUUGAUGGAGCGGUUACCAAACUGUACUUUGAACAAGAUGCAAGUGUUGGACUUGGGAGAUAAUAUGCUAGGUGGGGCCAUGCCCAGUAGUCCAGGGCCUAUUACAAACCUGACCUGCUUGGCCCUACCUCAAAAUAAGCUUACAGGCCCUAUACCCAAAUGGAUAUGGUCACUCACCGAGUUGCUUAUUUUGGACUUAGAAAGAAACGAGCUACAUGGCGUAGUCACUGAAGAUCACCUAAGAAGCCUUACAAAUUUGAAGCUCUUAAGUUUGGGCCACACACAUCUUCAGAUCAAGGUCAGUCCGAAUUGGGUUCCUCCAUUCAAACUACAAGUAGUUACCUUAGAGGGUUUGCAGCUAGGACCAGCAUUCCCGUCAUGGCUUAGAUCACAGACAAGCCUUGGGAUCCUAUUGAUUGCAAAUACAACCAUAACUACAAUCCCAGAUUGGUUUUGGGUUGCCUUUUCAAGGGCAGAAGUUGUGGAUCUAUCCAAAAAUCAGAUAACCGGCGCACUACCAACAACACUGGAAUUUAUGGCAGCAGAAACAAUGGCUCUGUCCAACAACAGAUUUACUGGCACAGUUCCAAAAUUCCCAAGAAAUAUUAAAGGCAUGUACUUGUCAGUAAACUCUUUAUCGGGGUCGUUGCCAUCAGAUUUCGGAGCCCCGUUGUUGCAGUAUCUUAGUAUUUAUAACAAUUCAAUAUCAGGCCCCGUUCCAUCUUCGUUAUGCUCAUUGACACAGUUGGCUCUGCUAGAGGGAACAAGCUGA
Molecule: ribosomal RNA, 1773 nt
Filed under: Triticum aestivum (bread wheat)
Lineage: Eukaryota; Viridiplantae; Streptophyta; Magnoliopsida; Poales; Poaceae
Description: partial small subunit ribosomal RNA
Source: RNAcentral